AUACGUAGGUGACAAGCGUUAUCCGGAUUUACUGGGCGUAAAGGGCGUGUAGGCGGUCUUGCAAGUCAGAAGUGAAAUUCCUGAGCUCAACUCGGGCGCUGCUUCUGAAACUGCGGGACUUGAGUGCUGGAGGGGAUAGCGGAAUUCCUAGUGGAGCGGUAAAAUGCGCAGAUAUUAGGAAGAACACCGGUGGCGAAGGCGAGUAAAUGGCCAUAAACGGACGCUGAGGCGCGAAUGCGUGGGGAGCAAACAGUAUUAGAUACCCUGUUGGUCCACGCCGUAAACGAUGAAUACUAGGUGUAGGGGGUAUCGACUCCCUCUGUGCCGCAGUUAACACAAUAAGUAUUCCGCCUGGGGAGUACGGCCUCAAGGUUGAAACUCAAAGGAAUUGACGGGG
RNAcentral lists this ribosomal RNA (397 nucleotides) under uncultured bacterium. RNAcentral's name for it is "partial 16S ribosomal RNA". It matches the Rfam family "Bacterial small subunit ribosomal RNA", at positions 523 to 918 of the family's 1533-position model. The record is from RNAcentral.